CUCAUUCCCAUUCAACUCUCGAAAUUCCAACCGUCCGGGUCUGACUGUUUCCAAAUUUGUUCCGUUCGGGGUCCAUUUCGCCGUCUGCACAAUGGGUUGCCUAUUCAAUCCUGGAUAUAUUGGACCGUGUCCGCCCUGCUGUGGCGAUAGUUGCGGACCCUGUGGACCCUGCGGUGGCUGUGGACCCUGUGGACCCUGCGGUGGCUGUGGACCCUGUGGUGGCUGUGGACUUUGCGGUGGCUGUGGUCCUUGCGGGCCUUGCUGUGGCCCUUGCGGUGGAUGCUGCAGCUCCUGUCCCUGCGGCUGGUGAAAUAGCGGACACCCCAACAGAUCUCUGUACUCUGUACCAACAAUUUUGAAACUUGCAGCCAAAGAACAAUAGAACCAACGGACCACCGUGAAAGCAAA
Molecule: long non-coding RNA, 408 nt
Organism: Drosophila persimilis
Lineage: Eukaryota; Metazoa; Arthropoda; Insecta; Diptera; Drosophilidae
Exons: 2
Source: RefSeq, a predicted model, not a curated record